UUCAUAGAGCUUUUUGUUGUUCUUGUUGUUAGUUUACUUUUAUUUUUUCUGCUUUGUUCAAGUUUUUAAAACUCGAUUGUGACAAUUUGUCUCUCCAAUGUUGCAGAGUUUCUAUGUGGAGGAUGUGACACACUUGGUUGAAUCUGGAUGUGGGGAUAAAUUCAUCUGCAAAGUGCAUGAAAUCCUGGAAAACCAUGCCACAAAGCAGCAGAAAUAUAAAGAGAAGGAGAUUGUGAGAAACUUGGAAGUGUUUAUUAAUGGCACAAAUGUGAACUGCACUGAAGUACUGAAGACUGUGCCGAAGGCAAGAACUGAAAAGCCAAUACCGGCUUUGCUGGAAAACCUCAAGAAAUGCAUUCAGAAGAGAAACUUCAAUGGACAAUAAAAACAUGCCUGGAUACCUUCCAGAUCUGUGGACUGUCUGUCAUAAUGCUUCCAAGUCAUUUUCUUUGUUCUUUUUUUUCUUUUUGUAAUUUAUCACAAUUCAAGCAUUGGAUAUUUAUUUCAUUCUAUAGUUUAAGACAGUAUUUUUCUUCCUUUUUAUGCAGUUGAUGUUAUUUAAUAGUAGCUAUAUUCGGUACAUUAGCAAAGACAUAUCUGACUGAGCUGUGUUUAACUGCAUUUGUAAAAAUGUAUGUGUAGCUGUUGUCAAACAGCACAACAGAUCAACUUGACAUGUUAUUCUACAACUGCAUAUUUAUUUUUUAUUUAA
Molecule: long non-coding RNA, 712 nt
Organism: Pelmatolapia mariae (spotted tilapia)
Lineage: Eukaryota; Metazoa; Chordata; Actinopteri; Cichliformes; Cichlidae
Exons: 3
Source: RefSeq, a predicted model, not a curated record